Molecule: ribosomal RNA, 492 nt
Filed under: uncultured bacterium
Lineage: Bacteria
Description: partial 16S ribosomal RNA
Rfam family: Bacterial small subunit ribosomal RNA
Source: RNAcentral
AGUGAACGCUGGCGGUAGGCCUAACACAUGCCAGUCGAACGGCAGCACAGUAAGAGCUUGCUCUUACGGGUGGCGAGUGGCGGACGGGUGAGGAAUACAUCGGAAUCUACUUUUUCGUGGGGGAUAACGUAGGGAAACUUACGCUAAUACCGCAUACGACCUACGGGUGAAAGCAGGGGAUCUUCGGACCUUGCGCGAUUGAAUGAGCCGAUGUCGGAUUAGCUAGUUGGCGGGGUAAAGGCCCACCAAGGCGACGAUCCGUAGCUGGUCUGAGAGGAUGAUCAGCCACACUGGAACUGAGACACGGUCCAGACUCCUACGGGAGGCAGCAGUGGGGAAUAUUGGACAAUGGGCGCAAGCCUGAUCCAGCCAUACCGCGUGGGUGAAGAAGGCCUUCGGGUUGUAAAGCCCUUUUAUUGGGAAAGAAAAGCAGCAGGUUAAUACCCCGCUGUUCUGACGGUACCCAAAGAAUAAGCACCGGCUAACUUCGUG